This 511-nucleotide ribosomal RNA is filed under the name uncultured bacterium. RNAcentral describes it as "partial 16S ribosomal RNA". It matches the Rfam family "Bacterial small subunit ribosomal RNA", at positions 28 to 523 of the family's 1533-position model. The record is from RNAcentral.
GACGAACGCUGGCGGCGUGCCUAAUACAUGCAAGUCGAGCGGAAGUUGGAGAGCUUGCUCUUCAACUUUAGCGGCGGACGGGUGAGUAACACGUGGGCAACCUGCCCUGCAGAUCGGGAUAACUCCGGGAAACCGGUGCUAAUACCGAAUAGUUUUCGCCACCUCCUGGUGGCGUACGGAAAGACGGUUUCGGCUGUCACUGCAGGAUGGGCCCGCGGCGCAUUAGCUAGUUGGUGAGGUAACGGCUCACCAAGGCGACGAUGCGUAGCCGACCUGAGAGGGUGAUCGGCCACAUUGGGACUGGGAAACGGCCCAGACUCCUACGGGAGGCAGCAGUGGGGAAUAUUGCACAAUGGGGGAAACCCUGAUGCAGCAACGCCGCGUGAGUGGCGAAGGUUUUCGGAUCGUAAAACUCUGUUGUGAGGGAAGAACAAGUACCAACUAACUACUGGUACCUUGACGGUACCUCACCAGAAAGCUACGGCUAACUACGUGCCAGCCGCCGCCGUAA